Alosa sapidissima (American shad) is the source of this 447-nucleotide long non-coding RNA. RefSeq lists it as uncharacterized. NCBI's taxonomy places the organism in Eukaryota, Metazoa, Chordata, Actinopteri, Clupeiformes, Clupeidae. The record is from RefSeq and is a predicted model, not a curated record. The transcript is spliced from 3 exons.
GUUUUCCUGAAUGCACUUUUGUCUUCAACCUUCGAGUAGAUAUUAUAAUCAAUGGUACGUGAAGGCGGCACAAUUUGAUUUUUGCUACCCCAGAGCUAACUUGCGACUUGUUAGCAAGUUAGAGAAAUCAAGUUAGACUCCAGAGGUCUAUGAUGGUCGGACGAGAUAAACUCGCGUGCGGAAGACUCCAGAAAAUGCAGUCUAGAUUUGGCGCCCAGUGAAACCAAGUGAAACGGUGUGUGGGUAUGAAGGAUUGUGCAGAACUUGCCACCACGAAAACUCAGAGAAGCUCAAUUCCACUGAAAAGAGGCCGGCAGCUUCUUAAAAAAUUGGAAGACUAUGCUAGACCAUCAGAUCAAAUUGCUGAACAAACAGCGUACCAAAAUGGAUAAAAGACUCAGAUUGACCAGCCCACGCUUUCAUCCACCAUUGUACACAGUAUGGCAC